AUCUCCGGGAUCUUAAUUCAGGAGGUGGAAUGCAGCUUGAGAUCAAGUGUCUGAUCAAAGAACUUGAACUUGAUCUGGAGGGCUCUGGGGAGCCAUGGAAAGUGCUGGAUAAAGGAGGGACAGUCAGCCACGUUUUAGAGAUGACCGUAGAAGGCUUCCUGGAAGGAGUGAACAAGAGCCAAGAGACCAGGGAGGGAGCUUGUGGGGCAGGUCUGGAGAUGGCAAGGGAGGGAUCCUGCUUGGAUGAAAAGUCUUCAGGGACCAUGUCAGGUUACACUCAGGUGCCCUCAGUGUGUUCGGAAGUCUUGUCUCCAGGAUGAAAAUGGGAAGGAGUUGUCAGAUAAGGACAUAUAAAUGGAGGCUGGCAUCCUCAUGAGUGUCAAUGGUGGUCUCGGUGUGGGGCUACUGUGAGAACAGGGGUAUCUCCAUUCAGGGACACAGUGGAUGGACCCUAUAUCACUCCAUUCUGCCCUUCCUUUCCCUCUUCUCAUUCUCCGGAGGGCCUCGGUGCAUGGGCGCUGUCCAUCCUUUGGUGCUGAAGCAGCGAAGCGAUCCAAACCUGCCUGGCCGCCUCUUAGGAUAUGACUGCACAGCCAUUGGCCUCUACUAGAUCCUGUACAACUUCACAAGACACCCAGACACUGCGAGUGCUGCCAGCACGUGCUGCAAGAGUCCUGAGGGACCACAAUCCUGAAAACAUUGAAUGACUGGAUGAGCAGUGAGCCAGAGAAGACAUGAAGCCACUGAGACCCCAGGCUUUUUCUAUUUCCACAGCCAGUAUGAACUACUCUCACUACGACAACACCGGGGAUAGAUGCUUCCACCAGGAACAGAAAUGGUUCCAGGGGGCUAGAGAUUGUGACAGUCGCCGGCCACUGUGCCAUUCUCAGCACUUCGGGGCCGACAGAACAAAGGAGCUAAUAGGGGUCCCAGUGGCCGUGAGGGAUCGAAGUUGCUGCUACCCGAUGGAAGAGAGGAAGGUCUCUGGUGCCCAGAUUCCCCAUGGGGGAGUUGCUAGCCUGCUGCAUCCAGGAUAAAAGCGAAGAAAGGAUCACACAAACCGCAGGCAGGAGGGACCCCCCAAAGGGAGCAAUCGCUGAGGAAUGGAGAGUCCAGCAGCUGCGGUGCUCGCUGGAGGCCCAGGAGCAGCAUGGGGCACUGGCUUCAACCAGGGUUGAUGUCUUGAGUGAAAUGAGAGCGUAUUUUGGCACCGUGAUAGUGUGUCGGCGUGCGAGCAUAGAAAGAAGGAGUGCAUGACCCAGCAGUCACAGAAAUGAAACCUGAAGGCCUGAGCAUGGGCUUCUUCAUGGUCCUUCUGUGACAUUCUCUAUGCAGGGCCUAGAAAGCUGCAGCCGCUCCCAGGCUCCCUGUAAGCUGGGGCUCCCAGCGUGGUGCAGCAUCACCCUGAGGGUUCUGUCUUGCAGCCUGGUGUCCUCUCCCAAUGGGGCUUCUGAUUGUGGCUGAGGUCGCAUGACACUGGCGUCUGGCGUUGCUCCUGAAAUCCUGACUUAAAGCCACACGUGCCUUUCUGCUUAGAGGAGCCAGCCUUGCUCCCGCAUUUAGCAUCUGAGCCAGUGUGUUUUAUUAUAAGCAUUAGAGACAUGACUUCUAAACUUACAGGUGAAUGUGUACCUUUUUAUAACUACAUAACUUUAAAAUUUAUUUUUGAUAACAAUUUAGUUGUUUUUCUUUUUUUUAAGGUGCAUGAGUACAUGAGCAUCUCAUUUCACAAUGACCUUUGCCCAAAGUAGUCUUGGUUGGACAUUUACAAUCUAAAUACAGUUUCAUAGAUAUUUACAUCAACUUGAGUUAUAAAUUGAGAGAAAUACACUACACAAAAAUUAAAGCUGAUUUCAAAUCUUUAAAAUCAAGAUAUGGAAACUCCCAAAUAUAUACUAGAAUGCAUUUGAAAUGCUUUAUUUAGAGUUUAUUAGUCACUAAAUCUAAAAGAUGACAGAAAGUACUCACAUUUAAUAAGCAAAAAAUAUUGAACUGAAUCAACAAGUAAGAUGGGACAUUAGAACCUAAAUGUUUUCAUUUAAUUUUGGUGAAUAUUAAGUAUACUAUAUCCAUGUUUAGAUACUUUUAAGUCAUGUUUUCCAAGUUCUGAGAAAACUAUAAAACAGCAGACAACAUUUCCUGUGUAUCUGCUUUGGCACAGAAGAGUUCAUAAUUUUUUUUCAUUUUAAAUUGAACGAGAAAUGAUAUAUUUCAGUGAAAAUCCCAGCUCAAGGGGGCUCUUCUGAGAACUGCGGAAAACAGCUCUGGGCUUUUCCCUCCAGGCGCCCGCCCACCUUACCUCUCCCCGCACAACAACUGGAUCCAAAUGGUGUGCACACCACAGUCCCAGGAUUCCCUGGCUUGUUUGUAAAUCUAUUGGCUGAGGUAGCUUUUCUGUUUGUUCAUUUGUUUAUAAAUAUAUCAAAAACUGGUCCCACAAACAGAAAAACAAGACUCCAACUGACUUCUACAUUACCGUUGAAUUUCUUUUCUAAAUGCCUUCAUCUGCUGUUCAUUCUUUUUUUACACAGUGAGUCACUUGUUUUCUGAAACCAGGCAUGUUGUUUUUAGUUUUUAUCACUGGAUAUUUGAUUUUUCCAUUUAGUCCUCAGUGGGGUGCGAAAUGUCACUUCGUAGAUUCUACCUAAACACUGUUUGGAACCUGGUGUAUCAAAAUAGAGGUUCCAUUCUGUAAGACGAAACAACAGAUCAUGACAAAGCAUUUUCACAUACAGCUUACUUCCAGUUUUUAUCGCUGUAUAUUCCAUUUUUUCUAGAAGGCCACAAUGGGCUCAGAAAUGUCACUGUAGAUUCUAUAAGAAGAAUGUUUGGAACCUGGUGAAUCAAAACACAGGUUCCAUUCUGUGAUAUAAAACAGCACUGCACAAAGCAUUUUCACACAUAGUUUAUAUCUAGUUUUCAGGGCAGGAUAUUUGAUUGUUCCUUAUAGGCCUCAAAUGGGCCCAGAAAUGUCACUUUGUAGAUUCUAUGAAAAGAGUGUUUGAACCUGUUGAAUCAAAACACAGGUUCCAUUCUGUGAUAUGAAACGGUGAAUCACCACGCAUUUUCAUUUAUAGCUUAUUUGUAGCUUUUAUUGCUGCAUAUUUGUUUUUUGUUUGUUUGUUUUUGAUUUUUGUUUGUUUGGCCUCAAUGAACUCAGAAAUGUCAUUUGUAGAAUCUACAAAAGGAGUGUUUGGAACCUGUUGAAUCAAACACAUGUUACAUUCUAUGAUAUUAAACAGCACCUCACAAAGCGUUUUCACAGA
This is a non-coding RNA of Macaca mulatta (Rhesus monkey), 3266 nucleotides long. The record is from RefSeq and is a predicted model, not a curated record. Lineage: Eukaryota; Metazoa; Chordata; Mammalia; Primates; Cercopithecidae.